UACGGAGGGUGCAAGCGUUGUCCGGAUUUAUUGGGUUUAAAGGGUGCGUAGGCGGAUUGUUAAGUCGGGGGUGAAAUCCUGGAGCUCAACUCCAGAACUGCCUUCGAUACUGGCGAUCUCGAGUUCGGGAGAGGUGAGUGGAACUGCGAGUGUAGAGGUGAAAUUCGUAGAUAUUCGCAAGAACACCAGUGGCGAAGGCGGCUCACUGGCCCGAUACUGACGCUGAGGUGCGAAAGCGUGGGGAGCAAACAGG
This 253-nucleotide ribosomal RNA is filed under the name uncultured bacterium. Its description in RNAcentral is "partial 16S ribosomal RNA". It matches the Rfam family "Bacterial small subunit ribosomal RNA", at positions 524 to 776 of the family's 1533-position model. The record is from RNAcentral.